Molecule: ribosomal RNA, 478 nt
Filed under: uncultured bacterium
Lineage: Bacteria
Description: partial 16S ribosomal RNA
Rfam family: Bacterial small subunit ribosomal RNA
Source: RNAcentral
GACGAACGCUGGCGGCGUGCUUAACACAUGCAAGUCGAACGGUAAGGCCCUUCGGGGUACACGAGUGGCGAACGGGUGAGUAACACGUGGGUGAUCUGCCCUGCACUUCGGGAUAAGCCUGGGAAACUGGGUCUAAUACCGGAUAGGACCACUGCCUGCAUGGGUGGUGGUGGAAAGCUUUUGCGGUGUGGGAUGGGCCCGCGGCCUAUCAGCUUGUUGGUGGGGUGAUGGCCUACCAAGGCGACGACGGGUAGCCGGCCUGGGAGGGUGACCGGCCACACUGGUGUGGGGAUACGGCCCAGACUCCUCCGGGAGGCAGCAGUGGGGAAGAUUGCACAAUGGGCGCAAGCCGGAUGCAGCGACGCCGCGUGAGGGAUGACGGCCUUCGGGUUGUAAACCUCUUUCAGCACCGACGAAGCGAAAGUGACGGUAGGUGCAGAAGAAGGACCGGCCAACUACGUGCCAGCCGCCGCCGUAA